Molecule: non-coding RNA, 147 nt
Filed under: uncultured Commensalibacter sp.
Lineage: Bacteria; Pseudomonadati; Pseudomonadota; Alphaproteobacteria; Acetobacterales; Acetobacteraceae
Description: FMN riboswitch (RFN element)
Rfam family: FMN riboswitch aptamer (RFN element)
About the family: The RFN element is a highly conserved domain that is found frequently in the 5'-untranslated regions of prokaryotic mRNAs that encode for flavin mononucleotide (FMN) biosynthesis and transport proteins. This element is a metabolite-dependent riboswitch that directly binds FMN in the absence of proteins.
Source: RNAcentral
GUUCUUGGGGCGAGGUGUAAUUCCUCACCGACGGUAAGAGAAUAUCUUGUUCUUAAGCCCGUGAGCGCCUGUAUUGUAAUAAUGCAGGGUCAAGCAGAUUUUGGUGCGAUUCCAAAGCCGACGGUUACAGUCCGGAUGAGAAAGAAC